This is a non-coding RNA of Pelobates cultripes (western spadefoot toad), 400 nucleotides long. Lineage: Eukaryota; Metazoa; Chordata; Amphibia; Anura; Pelobatidae. The record is from the annotation of a GenBank genome assembly.
GUUGAAGCAAAAGCAAUAGUAGCAGAUUAAUUGCAACAAUGUAGUAGCAAGCGAAAUGGAUAGAAAGCAGGAAACAGUCCAAAUUUAAUAACAACUCAAUUCCCAGAUAUAGAGAACCCGAAUACUUAAGGUUUGAUGGGAGUACACUUCCACAAGCUGGUUAGCUGAAAUCAAGAAGGCUGAAUAACAUAGAUCAAUCAGGUUCUUGAGAGUUAGAGUUAACAGGAAAAACUUUGUUCAGUCCGAGAUCAGGGAUUGGAGAUGACAGGCAAUCCGUUUAAACAGUCCAGUGGUUCGGUACACAAUCAAAGAGGAGCUUAGACGGCAUAAGGAACACAGAGGUAACCUAAAACAUUAACUAAGCAAUUUAAAACUGGUUUCUCUAUAAGGCAUGAGAAAG